UUAAGUGACGAAGCGUAUACGGUGGAUGCCUUGGCAGUUAGAGGCGAUGAAGGACGUGUAAGUCUGCGAAAAGCUGUGGUGAGCCGACAAAAUGCAUUUGAGCCACAGAUGUCCGAAUGGGGAAACCCACCUGUUUACAGGUAUCGUUACAUGAAUACAUAGUGUAACGAGGCGAACGAGGGGAACUGAAACAUCUAAGUACCCUUAGGAAAAGAAAUCAAACGAGAUUCCCCUAGUAGCGGCGAGCGAACGGGGAACAGCCCUUAAGCUGUUUAGUGUGUAGUGGAAUCCUUUGGGAAGAGGAGCGAUACAGGGUGAUAGCCCCGUACACAAAGCGUGCUUUACAGUGAAAUCGAGUAGGUCGGGACACGUGUUAUCUUGACUGAAUAUGGGGGGACCAUCCUCCAAGGCUAAAUACUCCUAACUGACCGAUAGUGAACCAGUACCGUGAGGGAAAGGCGAAAAGAACCCCUGUGAGGGGAGUGAAAUAGAACCUGAAACCGUAUACGUACAAGCAGUGGGAGCCCUUCGGGGUGACUGCGUACCUUUUGUAUAAUGGGUCAGCGACUUAUAUUUAGUAGCAAGGUUAAGCGAAUAGCGGAGCCGUAGCGAAAGCGAGUGUUAACUGCGCGUUGAGUUGCUAGGUAUAGACCCGAAACCCGGUGAUCUAGCCAUGAGCAGGUUGAAGGUUGAGUAACAUCAACUGGAGGACCGAACCCACUGACGUUGAAAAGUCAGGGGAUGACUUGUGGCUGGGGGUGAAAGGCCAAUCAAACCGGGAGAUAGCUGGUUCUCCCCGAAAUCUAUUUAGGUAGAGCCUCGGACGAAUUCCAUUGGGGGUAGAGCACUGUUAAGGCUAGGGGGUCAUCCCGACUUACCAACCCUUUGCAAACUCCGAAUACCAAUGAGAACUAUCCGGGAGACACACGGCGGGUGCUAACGUCCGUCGUGGAGAGGGAAACAACCCAGACCGCCAGCUAAGGUCCCAAAAUAUUGCUAAGUGGGAAACGAUGUGGGAAGGCACAGACAGCUAGGAGGUUGGCUUAGAAGCAGCCACCCUUUAAAGAAAGCGUAAUAGCUCACUAGUCGAGUCGGCCUGCGCGGAAGAUGUAACGGGGCUAAGCAAUAUACCGAAGCUGCGGAUACGUGUUUACACGUAUGGUAGGGGAGCGUUGUGUAAGUGGAUGAAGGUGGAUUGAGAAGUCUGCUGGACAUAUCACAAGUGCGAAUGCUGACAUGAGUAACGAUAAUGGGAGUGAAAAACUCCCACGCCGGAAGACCAAGGUUUCCUGUCCCAUGCUAAUCAGGGCAGGGUAAGUCGGCCCCUAAGGCGAGGCAGAAAUGCGUAGUCGAUGGGAAACGGAUUAAUAUUUCCGUACUUAUAUAAUCAGUGAUGGAGGGACGGAGAAGGCUAAGCAAGCUUGGCGUUGGUUGUCCAAGUGAAAGCAAGUAGGCCGAGUGUUUAGGUAAAUCCGGACACUUAAAGCUGAGAUGCGAGACGAGCUACUACGGUGGUGAAGUUGUUGAUGCCCUGCUUCCAGGAAAAGCUUCUAAACUUAUGAUUAUAUGAACCGUACCCCAAACCGACACAGGUGGUCAGGUAGAGAAUACUAAGGCGCUUGAGAGAACUCGGGUGAAGGAACUCGGCAAAAUUGUACCGUAACUUCGGGAGAAGGUACGCCUCUGUGUGUGAAGACUUCGCGUCGUAAGCACAUGGAGGCCGCAGUGACCAGGUGGCUGGGACUGUUUAUUAAAAACACAGCACUCUGCAAACUCGUAAGAGGACGUAUAGGGUGUGACACCUGCCCGGUGCCGGAAGGUUAAUUGAUGGGGUUAGUCUUCGGACGAAGCUCUUGAUCGAAGCCCCGGUAAACGGCGGCCGUAACAAUAACGGUCCUAAGGUAGCGAAAUUCCUUGUCGGGUAAGUUCCGACCUGCACGAAUGGUGUAACCAUGGCCACGCUGUCUCCACCCGAGACUCAGUGAAAUUGAAAUCGCAGUGAAGAUGCUGUGUACCCGCACCUAGACGGAAAGACCCCGUGAACCUUUACUACAGCUUGGCACUGAACAUUGAACCUACAUGUGUAGGAUAGGUGGGAGGCUUCGAAGCACAGUCGCUAGAUUGUGUGGAGCCGUCCUUGAAAUACC
Molecule: ribosomal RNA, 2147 nt
Filed under: Cylindrotheca closterium
Lineage: Eukaryota; Bacillariophyta; Bacillariophyceae; Bacillariales; Bacillariaceae
Description: partial Bacterial large subunit ribosomal RNA
Rfam family: Bacterial large subunit ribosomal RNA
Source: RNAcentral